RNAcentral lists this ribosomal RNA (242 nucleotides) under uncultured Actinomycetales bacterium. RNAcentral describes it as "partial 16S ribosomal RNA". It matches the Rfam family "Bacterial small subunit ribosomal RNA", at positions 88 to 334 of the family's 1533-position model. Lineage: Bacteria; Bacillati; Actinomycetota; Actinomycetes; Actinomycetales. The record is from RNAcentral.
UACUCGAGUGGCGAACGGGUGAGUAACACGUGGGUGAUCUGCCCUGCACUUCGGGAUAAGCUUGGGAAACUGGGUCUAAUACCGGAUAGGAGCCAUCUUUAGUGUGGUGGUUGGAAAGUUUUUUGGUGUAGGAUGAGCUCGCGGCCUAUCAGCUUGUUGGUGGGGUAAUGGCCUACCAAGGCGGCGACGGGUAGCCGGCCUGAGAGGGUGUACGGCCACAUUGGGACUGAGAUACGGCCCAG